Non-coding RNA from Oryctolagus cuniculus (rabbit), 1865 nucleotides. Lineage: Eukaryota; Metazoa; Chordata; Mammalia; Lagomorpha; Leporidae. The record is from RefSeq and is a predicted model, not a curated record.
UGCUUCCCAGGCCACUGCCACCUCCAAGCAAGGGGGUGGUAGAUGGGAAUGAGAGAAUUCUUCCUCUCUUCCUGUGUACAUUAGUUAAACAACUAUCUUUUUCUUUUAGGACAUAAUAAGACUAAUUUUUUCUCUAUUUUAGCUAAUUGAGCCCCUAUCUUGGGAGAAACAGCAGGAAGAAACUGACUACCCAGAAUCUGACAACCAGCUCUGAAAAUUCCUGUGAACUUGAGCAGUCAGCCCUUGGGAGCUGUUAGGAGUCAACUCCAGCAUUGUGGCUCCCCCAUGCCCAGCAGGAGACUGACGGAGAGGCUUCCAGAGCCGCGCUAACGUGGGGAGAAAGGGAUCCGAUCCGGGCUGUGUCUUUGGAGCACCUUCCUACUGUGCAUGGGGGCACCAUUGUAGCUCCCCACCUGGAUUUGAACCCAUGACUUCUUCGCUGGGCGAUUCUCUGGAAGCCAUCAAGUUCUCCCAAGUUUCCAGGUGUCGAUUGUUACCUAAGAAGGCAUACAACACCCAGUGUCAUUGAGUCUCAUGGUCAGAUGAGUCGGGGCAGGGAAGCUGGCUGCUUCCUGAGGUCUGCGGUCCCCGUGGGGAGGACUUGAAGGACUGAGCACUGAAGCAGCCUGGGGCUGGCUGGGGUCUUCCCACUAUACAUGUCCCCGGGGUUUCAAAGAGUUCAUGGAAAAUGUGUGUUGUGAAAAAACUACAUGGGGGCCAGCGCCAUGGCUCACUUGGUUGAUCCUCUGCCUGUGGCGCUGGCAUCCCAUAUGGGUGCCGGAUUCUGUCCCUGUUGCUCCUCUUCCAGUCCAGCUCUCUGCUGUGGCCCAGGAGGGCAGUGGAGGAUGGCCCAAGUGCUUGGGCCCUGCACCUGCAUGGGAGACUGGGAGGAAUUACCCGGCUCCUGGCUUCGGAUCGGCCCAGCACCGGUCGUAGCGGCCAUUUGGGGGGUGAACCAACGGAAGGAAGACCUUUCUCUCUGUCUCUCUCUCUCUCUCUCAUUAUCUAACUCUAUCUGUCUUAAAAAAAAAACUACAUGGAUUUCAAAAUUUCUUGUGGGGCCAGCAUUGUGGCGCAGUAGGUUAAGCCACUGCCUGCGACUUGGGCAUCCUGUGUGAGUGCCAGUUCUAGUCCUGGUUGCUCCACUUCUGAUCCAGCUCCCUGCUAAUGCACCUGGGAGAGCAACGGAAGACAGCGCAAGUGCUUGAGCUCCUGCCACCCACAUGGGAGACCAGGAUGGAGUUUCAGGCUCCUGGCUUCGGCUUGGCCAGUCCUGGCCAUUUAGGGAAUGAACCAGAGGAUGAAGGCCUCUCUCUCUCUCUCUCUUUCUCUCUCUCUCUUUCUAACUCUGCCUUUCAAAUAACUAUACGUCUUUUUUUUUUUUUUUAAAAAGCAUAAAGAUUUAAAAAAUUUUCUUGUACCAACAUAAAUUUACCUUUUAAUUCUGUAAGUGCCCUCAUAUCUCAGGUGGGGAUGUAGCAUGCAUGUGUGUCUGUGUAGGUGUAUGUCUAUGUGGACAUGUUUAUACACAUAUGUUAUACACACUAUUAUACAGGCUAUACACUAUAUAUAGAUCAUCAUAUAGACUAUAUAGAAGCUACCAUCUAGACUACAUAAGACAGACUCUUCUUGCAGGCCGGGGACCGGGACUAUCUUGUUUUGCACUGUACACACCCAGCACUGCACACAGUAACCAGUACACAGAGGAUUCUCAACUGUGUUUGUGGGAUAAAAGAAAGAAUUGCUCUCAAGUCUCCAGGGUGUGCGUGGGCAAAAGAUAGGCAGCGAUGAAAGCAAGAAGGGCCAGGGUUGGGGGGAGACAGCCCCCUGAAGGGGCCUUCUCCACAGUCACCCCUGAAGUGGGA